RNAcentral lists this long non-coding RNA (16423 nucleotides) under Vitis vinifera (wine grape). RNAcentral's name for it is "long non-coding RNA (VVIN_LNC005100)". Lineage: Eukaryota; Viridiplantae; Streptophyta; Magnoliopsida; Vitales; Vitaceae. The record is from RNAcentral.
UUGCCUCUUUCAAACUUCAAACUUUAGAAAUCCAUCUCCAAGUAUGAAUCCAAGAAUAGCAACAAAAUCAAGAACCGUUCAAGGAGAAACCUUUUUCUCUUCUUCAAAUAGAAGUGGGAUCACAAUGGCAAUUGGCUCCAUUGCGAUCGCGACAACUUCGAUAUUCAUCAAGAGCCAAAGCCUUCAAAGCCUCCUUUUCAAGCCCUCUUCUCUUCUAAAGGUUUGGGUUUUGAUUUGGUUUUUAACCUUAGUCAUAUUUUAGGGUUUUGUCUAAUCGGAUUGUGUAGAGAUAUUUGAUUUUUGUGGAAAUUUUAUUUUUUUUUUUGUUUUCUUUCUAAUUUGAGAUUUGGUUUGAUGAAUAAACUUUCAUCCUGUGUUGUUCCAAGCGUGAAUCCGUCUCAAGUCAUAGACCUAUUCAUUUUUUUUUUCCAACAUUUUCUUCUGAAGGCCAUUAUGAUCUCUAAAAAUUUUCUUAGUAUUCUUUGCUUUUUUUAGAAAAGUGUAUGAGAGGCAUGAGGAUUGUGAAUUUGUUCAUUGGGGAUUUUUCUGGAUUGAUGUAAUGUUGUUGGUUUUGGAAAAAUCAACCUCCCCAUCCAAACAUAAAUACACAUUCGAGUUGAGACAAUGUAGGGAUGAAUUUAUCAUUUUUUUUUUUUCUAUAAACGAGGAUGGGUACUCAUCAACAUGCCCGAUCCCGGGUUUUGGAUAGGGAUGGGUAAGGAUUAUAUAACUGGGACAAGAAUGGGAUAGGGGUGCCUUGUCCCAAACUCGCCCAUUGCCAUCCUCGUUGUUCCCAACACUUUUUUCCAUUUCCUUCCAAUAAAGGAGCCUCUUUACCUUAGUAGAGUCUUUUUAAUAGAAGAGGACAACACCCAAGGAACACCAAAAAAGGAGAACAAAAGCUUCCACAACAUUCAUGCCUUGAUUGAUUCCUCUUUGAUAUGACAAAGAAGACAUAUCUAUAUAUAUAUAUAUAUUUUUUUUAUAAGUAACAAAGAAAACAUAUAUUAGCCAAUUGUCAUCCUCUCCUUUGAAGUUGAUUUAGAGUCAAUUUUUUUCCCCAAGGUGCCUCAUAAGCAAAAAAACACGCUUAGGAGGAACCCACACAUUCCAAACAACCCUAACUGGAAAAGAUAUUGAUCUCCCAUGCUCUAGAAUAGUGUGAAGAGACUUAAUAGAGGAAGCUCCAUCUUUUGUCUCCAACCAAAUAAUGCUAUCCUUCUUGUCUCCAAUAACCACUUUAUCUUGCAGCCUUGACAAGAAACGCUUCAUUCCCUCAAUCUCCUAAUCAUUAAGAUGCCUAGAGAAGCUAGGGGACUAAACAACCCUCUCACCUAAUUGAGUCCAUAAAUUCGCUACCCAUGCCUCUUUUGAGCUUGCUAUGGCAAAUAAGGAAAAACAACUCUUAUAGGCUCUUCCCUACACUAAAUAUCCUUCAAAAAUUUCACUCUCUACCCAUUGCCAAUAGAAAAGGAGACUACUGUUAAUGAACUCCUCCAAUCUCCUUAUGGCCUUUCAUAAAUCAACCUCUUACACAUCUCUCACUUUCUUCAAAGACCAACCCCUUUCAUCCUCCCCAUAUUUCCCACAAACUAUUUGCCUUCUGAAAGCCUCCAUUUCCUUAGCAAAAUGUCGAUUCCAUUUACAAAGAAGGGCCUUGUUAAGAAAGGGGAGAUGCUUAACUCCCAAGCCCCCUUUUACUCUUAUUUGAACAAACAGUAGUCCAGUUCACUAAAUGAGGUUUUCUUUCUAAAGAACCACCACCCAAAUGGAAGUCCCUUUGAAUUGUUCCAAUCUCAACCUCACUAACCUCGACAUCUAGAAUAAUGACAUGAAGUAGAUAGGGAAACUAGAUAAGAUGCUCCAAAUGAGAGUGAGUCUCCCCCCCUUGGAAAUGUACUAUCUUUCCCACAUUGCCAAUUUUUACGGAAUUGCUCUUCCAUCCCGUCCCAAGUCGCCAAAUAGUUAUGAAAGGCACCUAACGAAAGCCCCAAAUAAGUGGAAGGAAGCUCACCCACUUUACAACUCACUUCAUAGGCCAACUUAUUCAAGUUCUCCACCCUCCUCACUGGGAUAAGCUUGCUCUUGCUAAGAUUAAUUUUCAAGCCUGAAAUGACCUCAAACCACAUGAGUAACCAACUUAAAUGGGUUGGUCAGUUUUGAGAGGCCUCACAAAACACCAAGGUAUCAUCAACAAACAACAUGUGGGAGACCUACAAUCCCUCUCUAACUCUACCAUUCACCUUAAAACUUGAUAAACAACCACCCUCCUUAGUGGACAGUUGAGUGCCUCCAUGGCUAGCACAAACAAAUACGGUGAAAGUGAUUCCCUUGUCUCAGACCUCUAAAGGUUUUAAAAAAACCUGAUGAGGUUCCAUCCAUUAGAAUCGAGAAACUUGAUGUUGAGAUGCACCAACUAAUCCAACAAAUCCACUUCUGACCAAACCCUAUUUUCUCCAACACUGAAAGCAAAAAAUCCUAACAAACAUGAUCAUAUGCCUUCUCUAUGUCAAACUUACACAACACUCCAAAAUUGUUGCUUUUUAACAUUGAGUCAAUCGUCUCAUUGGAUAUAAGCACCGCAUCUAAAAUUUGCCUCCACUCUACCAAAGCAUUAUGGAAUUUGGAAACCACUUUGCCCACCACCUUUUUAAGUCUAUUCGCCAAUGCUUUAGCUAAUAAAUUAUAAAGGCUACUCACGAAACUUAUAGGCCUAAAAUCUUUAAGAUCCUAUACUCCCUCAUUUUUAGGAACCAAAACUAAGAAAGUUGAAUUGAUACUUUUAACAAAUCUUCCUUGCAUAUGGAGGUUACUAAAAAAGCCCAUCACCUCUUCCUUCACAAAGUCCCAACUAAACUUCCAAAAUGUCAUUGAGAAACCGUUUGACCCUAGAGCUUUGUCCCUAUUCAGAUCUAAAAGGGCAUUGAACACCUCAUUCUCUACAAAAGGAUCCUCUAGCUUUGUUGCAUCUUGCCUAUUUAACCUGCCAAAAUUCAUACCCUUUUAUGCUAAGGUGCCACUUCUCUAGCUUUGACAAGAGGUUUUGAAAAGCCCGAACAAUCCCCUCCUUAAUCUCAGUCUCUUUUGUAAGACAAACCCCAUUAAUUUUUAUCUUACCCAAAGUGCUCCUUCUUUUGUUUGCAUUUGCCAUUUUAUGAAAAAACCUGGUAUUUCUAUCACCCUCUUUUAGCCAAACUUCCCUUGAUUUCUGCCUCUAGCUCAUUUCUUCCAAAAAAACCCAUUUCGAAAAUCCAACCUUGCUUGCUCUCUAGCAACCAUCUCCUUCAGAACUAAGGCCCCCAAUCUUUCUUUAAAAUCCUAGAAAACCCACUUGAUAAAGGGCCAAAUUCUUUCUUACUGAACCAUUCCACUCUAAAUAUCUGUCAAAUUCCAUUUGUCUAGCAUUUUAAAGGUCAACCUGACAAUGGCAAUUAACAACCUCAAAACCUGGCUCACGUCAUAAUCUCUAAAGUCUAGGCGUGGAACUCUUGAAGUGAUUUCAAUCUCAUAAGGUAUAUAAACGAACAAUGCAAUAAAUUAAUGACAAAGUCAAACUUAAAAAAAAAAAAUGGCUGUUCUGAAAAAAUGAUGACCAAGCCAUCUUCUUAUAAUAAACACUGUAAGUUGUAGAAUUCUUACAAUCAUGGAUCAGAGAAUUAGGUUUGUCAAAGGAACCUUUAUCUUAUAAUUCUUCUAUUCUCUAUAUUUUGUAGAAUUUAUGCAUGCCCGUGUCCUCUUCUUUGUCUUGUAGGCUUCAUCACAAUUUUUCAGACUGAGUAGCCUAUCAAAUAAAUAAAUAAAAAUAAAAUAAAAUUGAGGCUGAAUGGCCAUGAGGCUCUCCUCUUUUAACCAAUGGUUUUUCCAUAUUUGUAAGGUUGCUAAUAUUUAUCUCUACAUCCAAGGUACUUAUGGAUUACAGUAGGUUAAAUUAGUGGCCAAGUGUAAUAACAUAGUUCAUAAUUCCCCAUUUAUCAUCCUACUAUCUUUCCUGUUCUUAAAGCUUCUUUGCUUUGGCAAUUUAGACAGGACCUGUAUAGCAUUCUAAUUUGAUUGUUUUCUUGCUAGUACACAAAAUUGAAAUUGUCAAAUUUUGUGGCAAAAGAUAGUGUGUCUGUAAAACCAUCCAAACACAAUGAGUUAUGUAACAGCUAACAAGAUAAGAUAUUUAUCAUGUUUGAUAGCAAAUUUGUGUGAUAAGAACUGGAAAAGGCAUAAUAGAAUCAGGUACCCUAGAAUUCCUUGGUCAAUCAAUCUUUAAAUUAGUUGAAAAUAUAAAAUUGCUAGGAUGCAAUAUUGUAGGCUUGUCACUUAUACACCUCUGCCUGGAUCACCACAUCAUACACCUUUCAAGAAUCUUAAAGGACAAAUGUUCCUGAGGCUCCACUUGUUGUAUGCACCAGCUGGAUUUCUAUUCUUUUUCAACACAUCCCAAAUAAAAUGACCAAAAUCAAACACCAAUGUUUUUCUGUAUUUAUCAGCAAAAGCUUCAUACUUCUACAUGACUAAUCUCAAUGCCUCUUCACUUCAUUAUGAAGAAGACAAAUAUAAUCAAUCAUGUUCUCAACUUUUAUAUUGUUCACAAAUUUUGUCAGUGAUAAUAAAUUAAUACCCUCCUUUUUUUACAAAACAGGCUUAAUUUCCUCUUUAGAUGACACUAAAAUAAUGUUCUUACCUUUAUGGAAUGUGUAAGAAUUUAUCCAACUAUCAUGUCAUCAUCUUAUUGUCAUACUGCCACAACUCGCCAAAUGAGAGAUGGCAUGGAACUACAGCCAACACAUCUCACUGACCCUUAUUAGCAGGUUAAGAAUCAAUAAAUAAAGAAACUAAUCAUCAUUUACUAACACCUCAUAAAGGAAUAAGAAUCAUUUACUAACUAAUAGCUCAUAUGUUUUUUACAAGACCAUGAUACCUUGUAUGACUUAUGAUGUUUAUCAGGAUUCAACCUAAACUUGUCUACUACAUUUUGAGAAAUCAUGCUACCAUAAAAUUCCACUAUCAAUAAUCAAAUUGCACUCUCAAGUCCAAUUGCAAGUAGUAUGGUAUGCCAAUCUUUUUUGUUAUGAUACUUUGGGCUUAACAAACUCAUCUAUGCAACUAUAGACUCACCCUUGUCACCAUGUAAGAUAUCGUCAUCAUCCUCCUUGGGAUAAGCAUCAUAAAUAGGAUCUCCCUCAUAAUUUUUCCCAUAAACUAGUUCUUCUUUCUUAUGUAUCAGAAGCAACAAGGAUUUACACAUCAUAAAGAAUUUGCUUGUAUCAUAAUAUAAAAGAGUUAUCAAACUUAUUUCACUCUCAAGGUCAAAGUUAUAUUUUUUGUCAUGCCCCUUUACUAAAUGUUGUUUUUCUUUAUCGAUAUGACCACUUAUCAUUUUUAGACAACCCAUUAACUUAUGCCCUACCUUUCCACACUACUUCCUUUCAAAAUCUUCAUAGAGUUUAGCCUUUUGGUGAAUUUUAGUGUUGGAAGCUUACUUUCUAGUUCUUAACGCAUGUUGCUAUUGUAUUCCAGCCUUCAUGGCACUAUUUCAUGCAACCAUAAGGGUCAUCUCAUCUUAAAAGUGGCUUGCAUUAUUAAGGGACUACUGUCUGCAUGUGACUUGUGAAGUGCUCUUGUUUUGUUAUUCCACUACCACCAAAAAUCUCUAGGAGGUAUUCCAAAGGGACUAAAACAAAUAUAAGUUUAGGGCCUGUUGUAUACUAGCCUCGAACCAGUAAUAGAAUGCACUAUCAAUUCCUUGCUCUCCAAACAAAUCAUUUCAUGUAAUUAAUUGAUUGAAUUCUUCAGUGUAAUUUUCAAUACUAACCUCUGUGAAAAGAGAGAAAAGGGGGAAUCCCUAAUUAUUGUUAUUGAAAAACUGUAAAGAAUACACAUUGGACUUGGGUAUAUAUAUACAUGUUAGUGGGACCCACAAUACAAUAAGGAAAGAAAAGGAAAAGGAAAAGUAAAUAACCUAAAUAACUGUACACUAUCUAACACUCCCCCUCAAGCUGGAGCAUAUAUGUUAUAUGCACCAAGCUUGUUACAAAUGUAUUUAAUUCUAGGACCUCUAAGAGAUUUAGUAAAAAUAUCUGUUAGUUGAUCAUUUGAAUUGAUAAAACUAGUCGCCACACAUCCUGAUGCGAUCUUCUCUCUAAUGAAGUGACAGUCAACUUCAAUGUGUUUGGUCCUUUCAUGGAAGACUGGAUUGGAUGCAAUAUGCAAAGCGGCUUAGUUGUCACAGAUGAGCUUCAUCUGUUCAUCCUUUUCAAAUCUCAACUCCCGAAGAAGAUGUUUCAGCCAUAUGAGUUCACAUGUUGCCAGAGCCAUAGCUCGAUACUCGACUUCAGCACUAGAUCUGGCCACUACAUCUUGUUUCUUACUCUUCCAGGAUAUUAGGCUACCUCCAAUAAAAACACAAUACCCGGAAGUGGAACGUCUAUCUGUGGGUGAGUCAGCCCAAUCUGCAUCUGUGUAACCAACAACCUGGGUAUGACCUCUGUUCUCGUACAACACACCUUGGCCUGGUGUGCUUUUGAUAUAUCGAAGAAUGCGGAUUAUAACAUCCCAAUGGCUAUCACAUGGUGACUGUAGGAAUUGACUAACAAUACUUACAGGAAAAGAAAUGUUUGGACGAGUAAUGGUGAGGUAGUUCAGUUUACCUACAAGUCGCCGAUAUCUCCCAGGAUCUCCUAAAGGCUCUCCCUGUCCUGGUAUAAGUUUGACAUUUGGAUCUAUAGGAGUGUCUACCGGUUUACAGUCUAACAUACCGGUUUCUUCCAAGAUGUCUAAAGUAUACUUCCUUUGGGAAAGAACCACACCGGAAAUGGAUUGAGCUAUCUCAAUCCCUAAGAAAUACUUGAGUUUCUCCAAGUCUUUAGUCUGAAAGUGGGUGAAAGGUGUUGCUUUAGUUUCUGAAUACCAUUCUGAUCACUGCCUGUAAUGACGAUGUCGUCCACAUAAACUACCAGAUAAAUACACUGUCCCGAAGAGUUAUGAUGAUAGAAAACGGAAUGGUCUGCUGUACUGCGGAACAUGCCAAACUCCUGAACAACAGAACUAAAACGGCUAAACCAUGCUCGAGGAGAUUGUUUCAAGCCAUAUAGAGAACGGCGUAACCUGCACACUAAACUAGACUCCCCCUGAGCAACAAAACCAGGUGGUUGCUCCAUAUAAACUUCCUCAGCAAGAUCCCCAUGAAGGAAAGCAUUUUUAAUAUCUAACUGAUAAAGAGGCCAAGAACGCAUAGCAGCCAUGGAGAGCAAUAGACGAACAGAAUCUAUCUUGGCAACAGGAGAGAAAGUGUCACCAUAAUCAGAACCAUAAACCUGAGUAUAGCCUUUAGCAACUAAGCGGGCCUUACGGCGAUCAACCUGACCAUCAGGGCCAACCUUAACUAUGUAGACCCAACGACAACCAACUGUAGAUUUACCAGAGGGUAAAACAACAAGAUCCCAAGUGCCAUUGGAGUGUAAAGCAGUCAUUUCAUCUACCAUUGCCUGUCGCCAGCCUGGAUAGGAAAGAGCCUCGGGGGUGCUCUUGGGAAGAGAAACAGAAGAUAUAGCAAAAACAAAUGCAAAAUAGGGUGAAGAUAAUCGAUGGUAACUCAAAAAAUUGUAAAUGGGAUGAGGAUUACGAGUAGAGCGAUUACCUUUCCGAAGAGCAAUGGGUAAGUCAGCAGAAGGAGGCAGAGUCGGGGCAGGAGAAGUCGAAGGGAUAGGAAGUGAGUCAGCAGGUACCUUGGCCAAAGAAGGAGGAACAGCGACACGAUGACGGCGAUGAUAAACCUAAAGUGGGCGAGAAGGCACUGCAUCAGGUGGGAAGAUAAUGGGAAGGGGUAAGACUUCAGAAACAGAAAGAGACUCAGAGGUGGAGAAGAACGGUGAGUCCUCAAAGAAAGUGACAUCAGUGGAGAAAAAGUAGCGAUGAGUCUCAAAGGAAUAACAACAAUAACCAUUUUGAAGUCUGGAAUAUCCCAAGAAGAUGCAUUUUGUGGCUCUGGCAGAAAGUUUGUCCUGUCCAGAAGUGAGAAUAUGAACAAAGCAAGUACAACCAAAAACACGAGGAGGAAGGAAAUAAAGUGGUUGGUCAGGGAAAAGAAGGGAAUGAGGAAUCUGAUCGUGUAAUACAGAUGAUGGCAUACGAUUAAUCAAAUAACAUGCUGUAAGAACAGCGUCCCCCCAAAAAUGAAAAGGAACAUGACUAUGGAGAAGAAGAGUACGAGUUGUCUCAACAAGAUGUCGAUUCUUACGUUCAGCUACCCCAUUUUGUUGAGGAGUAUGAGCACAAGAAGACCGAUGAAUGAUCCCAUGUUGAGACAUAAAUGAAGUAAAUGGUGCAGAAAAAUAUUCUCUGGCAUUGUCAUUGCUCAACACACGAAUGGAAAUAUUGAACUGGGUUUGGAUUUCAACAUAAAAUUUAUGGAAAAUAGAGAAUAACUCAGCUCGAUUUUUCAUUAAAAAUAACCAAGUACAUCGAGAAUAGUCAUCAAUGAAAGUGACAAAAUACUGAAAUCCUAAAGUAGACGCGGUCCGACAAGGACCCCAAACAUCAGUAUGGACAAGUUCAAAAGGAGACUUUGCCCGAUUAUUCAAACGCUUUGGAAACGAGACACGAGUAUGUUUCCCAAGCUGACAGGACUCACACGCAAACGACAACAAAGAUGAAAAACUAGGGACCAUUUUCUGGAACUUGGAUAGACUAGGGUGGCCCAGGCGACUGUGGAUGAGGAGGGGAGCAUCAGUGGAAAUGCAAACUGCAGGAGUUGAAGGCGAGGUGAGGUGAUAGAGGCCUUGAGACUCACGUCCUAUGCCAAUCGUCUUCCCCGUACUCCGGUCCCGCAUGGUCACAAAUUUAUCAGAGAAAGUGAUAGAACAGUUAAGAGUGAAUUAUUUUGCUGAUGAAAAUAAGAUUAAAAGGACACUCAGGGGCAUAAAGGACAGAAUGGAGAGGUAGGGAAGGAAGAGGAUGAGCGAAACCAAAACCUUUAGCCAUAGUUUGGGAACCAUUAGCUAAAGUAACAGUAGGUAAGGCAGAGGUAGUAGUAAUAGAAGAGAAAAGAUCCUUAUUACCAGAUAUGUGAUCAGAAGCGCUAGAAUCUAGAAUCCAAGGUCCAAGAGAAGAUGUGUGGAUAAGACAAGCAGAAGCAUUACCAGUCUGGGCAACAGAAGCAACAGAAGCUGACUUGGUGGCCUGAUAGCGGAGAUAGUCAUCAUACUCACUGUCAGUGAGGGAAAUACCCUGAGAUGUGGAGGAACUGGGAGGCUGAGGCGACUAAGGAUCAGAUGACUGGGCCACGUGGGCAGUGCGGGGAGGCUGCCCAUGUAACUGAUAACACCGAUCACGAGUGUGGCCAAGCUUAUUGCAAUAGUUGCAAUGAGGACAUUGGCCUCUACCUCGGUUACCACUGCGUCCUCCUCGAGAGUUAGUUUGAGAAACUAACACAGAAGAAUCUGAAGUGUUAUCAGAUGGCAAAGUCUGAGUAGAGGAGAUACGGAGGAGGCGAGCAAACACAUCAUUCAAAGAUGGAACGGAGGAACUGCCAAGAAUCUGAUCGCGGACGGUCUCGAGAUCUGGACGGAGGCCAAUAAGCGUAAGAACCAUGAAGAACUUGUCAAUCUGUGUUCGUUGAUCCCCAACAUCAGUAGUAAGAGGCAUCACGGUCAAGAAUUCCUCCUUAAGAGAGGCAAUCUGGCCAAUAUAAGUAGAUAAAUCCAUGUCUUGUUGUCUGACAUUGACAAUAGAAGAAGCCACCUUAUAAAGACGUUGGAUAUCAUUCGUGUAUAGCCCUUUUGCCUGAUUCCAAAAUUUAAAGCAUGUUUUGUAGGCCCGAAAAUGAAGCAGAAUCUUAGAAUCAACUGAUUCCCAUAACACACUACAUAACUGUGCAUUUAUCUUCCUCCAUUAUACUCUGUCAACCUCAGGGAUAUCCGCCUCCUACGUAACAAGGUGAUCCUCAUAACCUUGACCCAUAAACCAAAACUCCACAGAGGCAGACCAGGACAAAUAAUUUUCACUGCCAACCAAUUUCUUCGAAGUAAUCAUAGGAGAUCCAGAUAUGACAGAGGAAAAAGUGGAACUUUUAGUAGCCAUAUCUACUUAUCUGGAUAACGAAAUAUGUUUGGAUCGAAGAGAGCCCUAAUACGGCUUCAAAUCGCGGCUGAAAGAAGAAAAACCGAAGGUCCGCGACUGUAAGAGACCAAAUAGUAAAGAAAAACAAAUGUGGCACUACUGGAAGGGUAGAAGAACACUUCCUAAGACACGUGCAGGGCUCGGGGUGGAGAGGAAGUCACUGGAGGUCGCCAGAAAGUCUGUUUAGAGGGCCGGCGGAGACAAAAAACCCCAAAAAAUGCACUUUCAGGGCUCGGAUGACAUAAGCACAGAUGGAGGGUGGCUAGACGAUGUCAGGUGAGGCUGGAGGUGGAGGCGCGUGGCCGAAAAGUGCUCCAUGUGCCCUCACGCGCCGGAGAAGAAACGCGCGUGGCUGGCGCGUGGAUGAGAUUCUCCCUCCGGUGCUUUGAGAAAACUUGAAGAUCUCCUCCUUGCGCACCUAAUGGUAUGGUCGGUGUUGGAAAAGGACUGCACCGAAAAAAGGUCGCCAGAAAAGUUGCCGGCGGUGAGGGUUUUCUGACGGCAAUACGAUUGAUCGGAAAGCUUUAGGAGAUGGGAAGGGUGACCGGAAUGAAACACCGUCACUGAAAGAUUUCCCAGAAUGGAUUCACGGAUAAACCAGAAAUAAUUAGGGUUUUUUUCUCCCUAGGCUCUGAUACCAUGUGAAAAGAGAGAAAAGGGAGAAUCCCUAAUUAUUGUUAUUGAAAAACUGUAAAGAAUACACAUUGGACUUGGGUAUAUAUAUACAUGUUAGUGGGACCCACAAUACAAUAAGGAAAGAAAAGGAAAAGGAAAAAUAAAUAACCUAAAUAACUAUACACUAUCUAACAACCUCUUUACUUCAGAUCAUUCAAAACGUUGAUUCAUUGUGUGACCAUAAUAAUUAAAAGGCAAUUUUUUUUUUUCAUUUUUCUUUAUUUUUUCAAUCCAAAUUUCUAGGCAUAUCUCUAAACUCUCUCGUGGUACAUAUUUAUCUGUGCUAUGCCAAAACUUUUCCUUUUAACCAAAUAACAAGCUUGACCUUCUUAUCAUCAAGUAUCUCAUGAUAUUCAAAGAUGCGCUUAGUGGUGUUAAGCUAAUCGAUAAAUUUUUGGCCUUAAACACUUAUACAUUUAAGAAAACUACACUUAAUAUUCUCCUUCCAAUGUUGGUUAGCCAGUUGUUGGGUAAGGUAUAGUGUUGUAGGAUGGAGAAAGGACUCUCCAUGACAAUCCCAUAACUAGACACAUUGUCUACCAUUGGGAGAGUGUUGUUAACCAGCGGGUUACUAAUGCAUUGACCAGCUGUCAAGUCAAUGUCUCAACUUGUCUUUAUAGAAAGUCUAUUUCAUAAAGUUAUCAUAUCAAAAAGGUUUUGAAGAUACUGAUAUGGUUUCUUUGACAUUAUUCAUUCAGUGGAUUCAGGCUUUCUCAAUACUGGUAGGGGAUGUUUAUGCGUAGGGGGCUCAGAUAAGCUCCUCCAAAAACUUCUAACCUUUUCCCUCAAUGGUGAUAAAUUGAAGACAUAAACUCUACAAUGACCAUUGUAGAAAUUCUACUUCACAAGGAGAAAUUUUUGCCUUUUUGAACUAGUCUCUUCAUGAGCAUGCAAUCUCACUUGGGUGCAAACAAGUUUCAACCAAAGCUGGACCUUUGAUACCUAUAAAGAAAAUAAAAACAUAGACAUAUUCGGGAAACAACAUGGGAUGACUUGGUAGUUGAAACCAUCCAAUGUUAUUUUGUUUAAAUAUAGUGGACUUUAUAUGGACAAGGAGAACUCUUAUUCUUCAUCUGGAGCUCAUUGAAGUCAAUAGUUUUGAUGGAAGGAGAGGAACAAACAUACUUUCAAUGAUUCCCAUUGAUAAACUUGAAGAAGUGGUUCUUGUACCUUUAUCUUUGUGUGCAUUGGGGUUGGAGGUUGGAGGUUUUUAAAAAGCUGGUGAUUUUGGUAUUCCUACAUGGCUUGUCCUUCCUAAUUGAGAGUCUUUUAGGACAUACAGUUUGUUCCCUCUGUUCUACCUUUUCUUCAACAAAAUAUUCUAUUCAUCAGGGAAGAAAUUUGUUUGAUGAUACAUCAGUCUAAGCUAAUUAAGAAGUUCCUUAUCAUGCUAAGUUUGAGGGGGUGGAAGAUUGUUGUGAAGGGAAGUUCAGAGAGCCUUCAAAAAGGUGUGGAAUGAAGGGGGAAGGGGCUACAAGUUGGAGUUGUGCAGCAACAAAGCUGGAAGGUUUCUGUUGUGUUCAGUUGCAUGCAUAAAGGAAAAAAGGUUUUCCUUGGUUUUUCUAGAAGGAAAGGCUCCCUAAGGGGUUGGAAGAUUCUUACCUCAAAUCUUAGGAAUUGGGGUAGUCCCUGUGUCUAGGCCUUUGGAGGAGUCAAAGGAGCAGGUUAGGCAUCGGGAGGAAAAGAGAGGCGAUAAUCUGUUUAAGGAAGCUUCUUUUGUAGAUGUGUCGAACUGAGGCAAGAGGGAGUUGGGCAAUGAAGUGUGGGUUGAGAGUGAGUCAAGAGAGGUAUUAAGUAACUUGGGGUUUCUUAAGAAGUGUCUAGUGGGGAGGUGGGAUGGUUCUUCAAACCGGUUGCCAACUUUGGAUGCACUAAAUUUGUGGGCUCGACAUUUUGAAAGGGGAUUUGAAUCUACUUUUUUUGGGAGGCAAUCUCAUUUUAUUUGAGUUUGAAAAUGUUCUGAGGUCAAAAGGGUUUUGUUUUGGGGUCUAGUAUGUUUAAGGGAAGAAGAUUGCAGCAGGAUUGGUGGAAGUCGGAUCUUGGUUGCUUCAAAGAAGGUGCCUGCAUCAGUGAAGUGUGGGUGAGGGUGUUGGGUCUACCAAUGCAUCUAUGGGAAAAGAGUUCUUUAAAGGAUGGGUGAUGCCUGAGGAGGUUUUAUGAUGAUGGAUGUAGAGGCAGAGGAGAGGCAUCACCUGAAAUGGGCUAGAUUACUCGUUAAAUCUAGUGGAAAAAAGGUGUCUAAUCAGUUAAAGAUUGUGGACAGAGACAAUGUUUUUGUCAUCCAUUUGUGGUGGGAAGUUCCGCCAUGGUUGUCAACGAUGGUUUCAAAGAGGAGUUGCAAAAGUCUAGAGUUAGAGAAGGAAGUUCACAUGCGGUUAGGAAAGUGGAGGUGAAAGAAGGGAGAUGUGUUGUAGAUGUAAUGCAGAAAGAGAUGACUGAGUAGCAGGCCUUAAGGGUUGUGCCUGGUCUCUUAGUGAAAGAUAUGGAGAAGCGUGUGCAGUCAAAGUCAGGAAACAACUUAGAUGGGGAGCUUCUUAGGCCUCCUUGCAGGUCAUUGGGCCAUAAGGCUUUAAAUGAAUUGGAUGCUGGUGAAGGGAGCCCAUGUUUCUUCUAGGGCCUGCCGAAAACCUCUUCUUUAAGUUUGUCCAAAGGGAGCCAAGUUGGGCUUCCUAAGUCUAGGCGAGGGUAGGAGCUAGGUUGGCCCAUGUCUUUUGGAACCCUAGUUUUUAGUGCCUAAGAAGGGCGUCAGAGGAACCCUAAUGUUGGCGAUUUUGCUUCCUAUUUGGUGUUCUUUGCCAAUCCCCUCUAAAGGUGGCGAUUUAAAGUUCGAUAGGGUGGGUUUCAAGUAUGGAUGAAGCCUUGAUGGCACAAGCAAUAGGCUUCAAAGGUAGGUCUCCCCCUUCACCUCCUUCUUUUUUGGCUAGGUCUCUCGCUUUCGAUGUUGGGUCAGCAUGUCAUGCAAGGGUGACGCCUCCCUCGGGGACUCUAAUUUAUAGUUCUCGACCUCUUCAAAUGAUGCUCCAAGAUGGAAGGAUGUUGGAUCUUACAGGGAGUGGAGAGAAGUGUCCUUCAGGUAAGGAGUUGGUGAGCAAGUCAUGGAGGCCUAUUGCUUGUUAGAGGGGGAGGAGCUUACUCUGCGAGUCUUCCCAGUAAGUUUGCUGAUUUUAGUAAUUUUUUAGGGUUGCUAGUGGUGGGAUUUGAAAAUGAAAUUACUUUCCUUUUGAGGAAAAUAAAGUUAAGAAAAGGAUGUGAGAUUAAGGUCUCAAGGGGAAGUAGGAAAUUCUUGUCUACUCGUUUGGAGAGGGAAAUUCGAAAGCUAGAAUGUCCAAUGAAUUACAAUUGCUCUCCUCUUUCUAUCAGGGGAAAAGGGGGAUAGCAAUGGGGUUUCAGUUCUCUCUCUAUGAGGUCGCUUUCUUCACCCCUAACUUGGUUUAUGGUUUUUGGUUGCAGAAGGGCUCUUAAGUGGUUUCUUGUCCAUCCUAGGCUUUAAUUGUUUCUUGCGUGGUAGGUUUUGGGUAUUUCUUGCCAGGUCCGUCCAGUUUUGUUGGGCGUGGGAUUGGAUGAUGUUAGGGUGGUCAGUUUUAGCUCUGCCCUUUUCUUUCUUGCUAGCUAUCACACACACAAAAUCUAGCACCCAAUUUUUACGUAUGUGAGGUGCUUAACCACCCCUCUAAGCCACCCUUCCAACAACCCACACAAGAUUAAAUCAAAGAGCCCACACAAGCACACACGAGUUUACAGGGCACCACCCCCAACUUGUAUUUUAUUACUAUCCCGAAUAAGAAUACAAGACACAGAUUAGCAAGGCUCCCACAAUAGCAUUGACGAGAUCAUGAUCUCUCAAGAUCUCUCUCUCUAGAUCCCUCUGUAUGAUUAUGUGAAUAUAAAAGUGCUCAAGGAGGUUUUCCCAUCCCUUUUUUAUAGAGUGGCUAUCACCCACUCCUUAUUGGACUAGAACUCCUCAUCCUAGUUCAACUAGGACUCUUCCUGAUAUGCCAUGACACCGACCAUUCCCACUAGGACUCUGAGUCUUUCUCAGACUACAAUUAUAAUCACAAUGGAAAUAAGGACUCCUACUCAUUCUCAAGUUUUCUUGCUUCGGGACUUUAUCUCCUUGUGCAUCAAGACUCUGCUUCACAUCUGAACUAGGAGUCUCGUGCAUUAGGAGUCUUCUUCAAGCAUUAGGACUCAAUCUCCUACUCUAACUAGGAGUCUCAUGCAUCAAGAGUCUCUCUCCUCAUGCUGCAGGCCAUGCAUAUAUAUAACUUACGUGUUGUCCAAGCUCUCUUUUUGGGAUCACUCAUCUAAGUCGUCUCAUGUGCGCAGCUCAUGCACUUAGCUUGUGCGUAUCCCAUGCACUCAGCUUGUGCGUGUUCCGUGCACUUCCUGUGCGCGUGGCCUACGUGCACGUGGCUCCAACCGGCCAAGUGUUGGAGCCCUUUCGAGGCAACCUGCUUUCUUGUUCCUUGUGUUGCUAUUGGAUCCACCUAUGUACAACAACCCUUGUGCAAGCCAAGCCCUCUUCUUGGUCAGCACACCCGAGUCAUGACAUUGUGCCCACGACUCCCCUUUCAUCUCCUUGCACAAGGCAUUGUGCCCUUGUGCCACCUUGUUACCGUCCUAGGUCACUCAUAAGGCCAAGGUGCCACCCCAUGAUGCCUUAGUGUUGAAUGGUCCAUGUCAAGGGCUAACACUAGCCUUUAGGCCUUUUUUGUAUACUUUGUGUGCACUUGUGCAUCUUUUACUAGCGCUUUUUAAUAUGUUCCACCAUUUAUCUAUCAAAUAAUAAUAAUAAUAAUAAUUAAUGUCUACACAGAAUAAAAGAUGACCAUAAGCAACCAAAAGUGAUAUUAUUGGUGAAAUGUACUAAAAUAAGUUAUUAUAUAAAGAACUAAAAAGGGAAACAGAUUUUGGAUAACUUAUGUUCUAGGGCAAUUUAUAGUUCCAUGUCACAUGUAAAUACUAAGGAAUUCUUAUCAACAUCCACUCUAUUUCCCUACAAGGUUACAUUCCAACUUACAUUCAAUAAUAUGUGUUGAAGCAAACAACAAAAAGAGCGAGCCCUGCGACAUGCUCUGUUGAUAAAUUGGUAUCCUCUCUAUCUAGCAACAUAAACUCAUGCAGUUGUUCACACGUGUAAUUUUCUUCUUUUUAAUUUUACUAAUUGAGGUGGUUCAAUUUACAGUCCUAACCUCAAUUAAAUUCCAAUGUUCUUUCCAAUUUUGGUUCUAUUCCCAUUGAAUAUAUAGGCAUCUCUCUAAGGGCAUCUGUAGAUCUCCUUUCUGGAAGGAGGCUCCUUUAUGACAGAGACAGGGAGACAACGCCAUGUAGUGUGAGAUCCCACCAGAACCAAGAUCCUGGCAUUAGUGUACUUUUAACUGCUUAUUUUAAUUUUUAAGUAAAGAUUGUUUACUGAUGUAAUUAUGCCUGCUAUACCACACUUGAAUCCAAUAGAAAAAAAUAUAAAAUAUAAUUAAUUAUAAGCCAAUUCCCAGCACAAUUGUAAAAUUAGAUAAAUCCUUAAUUGUCUUUAGACAAGUUCAAGCAAUUACUACCAAAAUUUAUUCCCUGCAAAACUAAGAAUUACAUCUCCUCAACAAAUAAUACUACCACUUUUAAGAGGAAUGACCAUCAUCACUUA